CAGUAGCCGCGGUAAUACGUAGGUGGCAAGCGUUGUCCGGAAUUAUUGGGCGUAAAGGGCUCGCAGGCGGUUUCUUAAGUCUGAUGUGAAAGCCCCCGGCUCAACCGGGGAGGGUCAUUGGAAACUGGGAAACUUGAGUGCAGAAGAGGAGAGUGGAAUUCCACGUGUAGCGGUGAAAUGCGUAGAGAUGUGGAGGAACACCAGUGGCGGAGGCGACUCUCUGGUCUGUAACUGACGCUGAGGAGCGAAAGCGUGGGGAGCGAACAGGAUUAGAUACCCCGGUAGUCCCUGUCUCUUAUAC
Molecule: ribosomal RNA, 301 nt
Filed under: uncultured bacterium
Lineage: Bacteria
Description: partial 16S ribosomal RNA
Rfam family: Bacterial small subunit ribosomal RNA
Source: RNAcentral